RNAcentral lists this ribosomal RNA (368 nucleotides) under uncultured bacterium. Its description in RNAcentral is "bacterial SSU rRNA". It matches the Rfam family "Bacterial small subunit ribosomal RNA", at positions 527 to 896 of the family's 1533-position model. The record is from RNAcentral.
GUAGGUGGCAAGCGUUGUCCGGAUUUAUUGGGUUUAAAGGGUGCGUAGGCGGUUCCAUAAGUCAGUGGUGAAAUACGGCAGCUCAACUGUCGAGGUGCCAUUGAUACUGCGGAACUUGAGUACUGAUGAGGUAGGCGGAAUUGACGGUGUAGCGGUGAAAUGCUUAGAUAUCGUCAAGAACACCGAUAGCGAAGGCAGCUUACCAAGCAGUAACUGACGCUGAGGCACGAAAGUGCGGGGAUCAAACAGGAUUAGAUACCCUGGUAGUCCGCACAGUAAACGAUGAUUACUCGAUGUUGGCGAUACACAGCCAGCGUCUUARMGAAAGCGAUAAGUAAUCCACCUGGGGAGUACGCCCKCUAAGGGUG